ACUCUGGCACAUGGCUGCUAAUAAACUUCUUCAUUCUCAGGAAGACAGGGUCGAUGUAGAAGAAAAAGAAAUUUAAAAAUAUAUGGCUGCCACACAGAGCCUCUGAAAUGAUGGAUCUUUGAUGGAGGGAAACCCAUUGCUACCAAGGCUGAUAUCUAGUACGAAACAAAAUUAUAGACUAUCUGAGUAGAAGAGGUUCACUCUCAAGCCAUCCAUCCUUUGUUGUUGUUGUUUUUUAAUGACUGCUUUUGACUCCUUGGAAUUCUCCACCAUUCCUCAACUGCCUUCUCAUCCUGGAAGGAACUUCUACCUUUGGAGACCCCAUUGGUGAAGUUCUUCCUUGGAACCUCCAUGUUGAGGAAAGGCCCAGACCAGCCAUGUCCACUCCUGUCCUAUCUCAGCUCUGCUCCUGACUCCUUGGACUUCUACCCACAAUGUCUCAUCUGCCUUCUCACCCUGGAAGAACCCUCUGCCCUUACAGCUUUCCCCUCCCACUGUGGCCAAGAACUGAAUACUACUGGGGUGCCCAUCAUUUAGGAAUGGCUGAAGAGAUUAUGGUACAUGAAUGGAACGGAAUAUGAUCUAGUUGAAAAAAGUGAAGAAACUGUUUCAAAGAGACAUAAAAAGUGAUCGUUUAGUCCAGGAUGUAAAGACUGAACUGAAUCCAGAAGUAACGUGUUGGAAAUGGCAGUUACAUGCAUGAGCUUCCAUGCUAUGAGCCUGAGAGAAUUCAUGAGAUUCCACCCAUCCUAAAGGAUGAAUAGAGGUGAGAACCACUCAUUCAAGCCCAAGAAUGAACUGCAACUUCUUACAGAGUGUCUGGAAUUAUUUCUCUCUUGAGCAACAGCUCCUCUGUCAAAAGAAGAGGCAAGAUAAGAUGGUCCAGGAAGAUCUUUCCAGCCCUGAUAUUCCAGGAGUCUAUGGUUCCAGAACCUGUAAAUAUAUUUGAAAUAUAAUACAGAAGCUCAUUAGUGACUCCAUUCUUUUUAAUUUUAUUUAGUCAAUUCCUUGGUUACAAGAAUGAUAUUCUUUCCCUCCCUUCCCCCAUUCCUUCCUGUAGCUGAUGUACAAUUCCACUGGGUAAUGCAUGUGUCCUUGAUCAGAGCCUAUUUCCAUAUUGUUGGUAUUUGCACUAGGAUGUUCAUUCAGAGUCUACAUCCCCAAUCAUAUCCCCUCGACCCAUGUGAUCAAGCAGUUGUUUUUCUUCUGUGUUUCUACUCCCACAUUUUUUCCUCUGGAUGUGGAUAGCGUUCUUUCUUGUAGAUCCCUCCAAGUUGUUCAGGAUCACUGCAUUGCCACUAAUGGAGAAGUCCAUUACAUUCAAUUGUACCACAGUGUAUCAGAGUGACUCCAUUUUUAAUAUCAAUCAAGCAACAAGCAUUUUUAAAGCAUCAAUAUGCCAGGCACUGAACUCUACAUUGAAGAUAACAAAGACAAAAGCGAGUCCCUGUCCUCAGGGAGUUUAUAUUCUGUCAGUGGAGACAACCUAAGUAUAUAUAACAUACAUACAGAAUAAAUACAAGGCAAUUUUUGUGGGGAGAUUUCUGUGGAAAUUGGGGGAUUUCAGGGAGUCAGGAAAGGACUCAUAAAGGAGAUGAUAUAUAUGUAUGUAUAUAUAUAUUUAAGUUAAGUCAAUAAAGAUUUAUUAAGCAAAGCUAAUUUGGGCCCUUCUUCAAAAUGGAAGUUUGUGAGAAAGUCAACAAUGGGAAAAGGGGGCCACAAGGGCAAAGGAAGAAGGCAGGUGACAAAAUCUGGAAAACGGAGUAUGCAAGGAAAUUAGGAACUGUGAGAGAGGGAGGUGAGGAGAAAGAACAUUCUAGGCUUGGGAGACAGUUCAUUCUGUCUUCCAUUCACCUGGAUCCCAUAAAAACUCUUUCUGGUGAGAUGGCUAAGUUGGUAGAGUUAAGUGUUCAGGAGAGGAUGGGACUCAUGUUAGGAGAACCAACAACCCCAGGAGAGGUCUCUUUCCUGGUUAUUAUAUGAAACAUCAUGGAAAGGCUGUAGCUGGGAUCCAGUACCACGGUCAGCCAGCCUACCAAGUCAAGGAAGGAUAGACUGCUAAAGUAGGGAGGAUCUUUAGAGAUCAUCCCCUGCUUAUCACCCAGAGGAAGACACUUAAGCCCAGAGAGAGGAUGUUGACUUGCCCACACCAUACAGUUUGUUAGUGGGAGGGAGAGUCAGGACUAGAACCCAUUAGAGGUUUAUGGAAAUUUCCUCCCACUCUCAUUUAGGUCAUUUUCCUCUAAAAAUCUCAGGAUCACAUGAUCAUUAUCCUUCCAGCACCUCAUGGAUUGUAUUCUUGGUUUUCUAUAAGACCACCUGAUAUUGAUAGUUCCUGAAUAUCAUGCAAGCUGUGAAAUGAAUAUAUGUACUAAUGAAAAAACAUUUGUUGAUACUUACUAUAUGCCCCCAAACUGUCAUAAGUGCUAGGGUGACAAAUAGAAAAAUCGAACCCAUCUCUGUUAUCAAAGAAGUCACCCUUCAAGUGGAGGAGAUGACAUAUGAAAGGAAGAUCAACUAAAGGGAAAAUACAAAGAACCAGAAGUCCUAAGUGGCCAGAAGCACAAUGACAAAACCCAGGAGUCUAACGUUAAAUCAAAAGGUCAGAUGAUAGUGGCAGGAGUGUGGUCCAGAAUCAUAGAUUUGGAGCUGAAAAGGACCUGAAGGGUCAUCUGCUUCAACCCUCUUAUUUUAUGGAUGUAGAAACUGAUGCUGGGAGAAAGGAAAUUGCCCCAGCUUUCACAGAGAGUAAGUGGCAGUCAGGAUUCAAAACCAAGUUCUCUAAUGCCAAAUCCUAGACUUCUGACUCCAAGUCCAGAAUCCUUUCCAUUGUACCACACCAUCCCCUCUCUCUCCAUCCUAUACGGUAUGUAGCUUUGAAGCAACUUCUUCCUUAAUCAAAUAUCAUGCACGCACAACAAUCUUUCAUUUAAACAUUUUGAAUAAUUUUAAAACAUGAUUAAAAUAAUGCAUCAUUCCAUGUUUUUUUGAAUGAGAACUGAUACAGAGAAGGGUGUUCAAGGUCAUCAGACCACUGGCAGACUGUAUGGGAACUGAUCCUAGUGACUGCACCUGUACUUUCCUUGCUUUGGUCUUGAUACAAGGGCACAACCGUCAUUUUUUGAAAGUUGAAAGCUUCUGAAAGUCGGAGAGAAUUGCAUGCUCUACAUGUUUGCUUUAACACUUCCUUCUAUGGGGCUCUCCGGAACUCCUGUGCAGUAAGAGGGAGGAUCCUUUUUUAAAACAAAACAAAACUGUGUGUGUGUGGGGGGAAGUUCUCAUUCUUCAGCAGAAGGGUGAUGAAUACUCUAGCUUAAGAUAUUGUCCCAGUCCAAGAAAGCACAAUUGAUACGAUGCAAUUUUUUUGCUAUUCUUGGGAGCAGAUUAGAAUCAUCUGGGAGACAGUGGAGGUAGGAGGUUUGUUGAAAGAGUCUUGUGAGGGGCAUCUAGGUGACCCAGUGAAUAGAGAACUAGGUCUGGAGAUGGGAGGUCCUGGGUUCAAAUCUAGCCUCAGACAUGUCCUUGCUGUAUGACCUUGGGCAAGCCACUUAAAGCUCAUUGCCUAGCCCUUACCACUCUUCUGCCUUGAAACCAAUACUUGGUAUUGAUUCUAAGACGGAAGGCAAGAGUUUAAAAAAAAUAAAAGAAAGGCAAUUGUGAGAACUUAGAGGGUGGAGACAAUGGGAAUAGAAGAAAUAUGGAGGUAGAAUAGACAGGGCUUGAUAACCUUGUAUAUGAGUGGUGAAAAGAGAGGGAAUAGUAAAAAAAUAAGCCCAAUGUUGCAAAUAUAGCCUACUGAGUGAAUGCCAUUGCUACAAUUAGAAAGAGCAAAGUCAGAAGGAUGAGCAAAUGUAGGGAGAAAUAUAUUAACUUGGGUUGUUGAUAAGCCUGGAGUAGUAGAAAGAGCCUGCAUUGAUUAGUGGACCUGGGCAUAAAGCUGGCAAGUGAGAUUGCUUGGGGAUCUUGAGCAAGUCAAGAGAAUGAGGACUGAAAAAGUCAGAGACCUCCAGGUUCACUUCCUGGGUCUGUCAUUACAGGUGUGAUUUGGGCAAAUAGCAACCUCUCUGGGUCUCAGUGUCUGCAUCGGACCAAUGAGAGGGUUGGACCAGAUAUCAUCUAAGAUCCUUAUGCAGCACUACAUCUAUGAAUUGAUGAAAAAAGACAAUUGGAUUUGGCUUACCCUUUGAAAGAUUAGUUUCUAUAGUGCAGUAGGGAUAUAAAACAUUGCAAAGAUUUAAGAAUUGGGUGGGUAAAAAGGAAGUUGAGCUAAUGGUUAUUGAUAUGUUUAAAAAUUAUUUAGUAUGAUCUUAAUAUUAAAUAUCAACCCAACUAAUUAAGUGUGCUUUGCAACUAUUUUUUAAAAAUAAUUUCAGUGUAUGAUAUUUCAUAACAACCCUUCAGUCACUUCUAAGUCUCCAACAAGAUUCUUUGGUUACCCACUCACUUCUUUUUGUUUUUCCUUUUUUGAUCCUGCUUUUGUUUAUUUUAUUUUAUUUAAUAAAAUCCUCUGCACAUUUCUAUCUAUUCCACAUUCUUGUCAUCUAUAAUUCAGGGACAGGUGAGGAAUCUAUAUGAAUGGAGUGCUGGACAUGGAGUCAGGAAGCCCUGAGUUGGAUUCUGGUCAUACUUACUAGUUGUAUGACCUUUCAGCAGGUCAACCAGCCUCAGUUUCCUUAUUUGUAAAAUGAAGAUAAUACUUUCCUCACAUGGCUGUUGUGAGGGUCAAAUGUAUAUAUAUGUACAUAUAUAUAUGUAUAUACAUAAAAUAUAUAAAGUUCUUUUGAACUAUGUAAAUGUAAUGUAAAAAUAAUAUAUAAUAAAAUCAAUGAUAAUUAUGUAUGCUAUAAUAAUAUGAAAUUAUUAUACUACAUGUUAUGAUGAAUUGCAUUAUAAUAUUUUAUUACCUGAAUGUACUACAUCUUAUUUAACUAUUGCUCCUCUGUCGCAUGCUUUGGUUUCUUCCAUGUUUUGGUAAUUACAAAUAAAACUCUUCUGAAAAUCUUUGAACAAA
Molecule: long non-coding RNA, 5011 nt
Organism: Monodelphis domestica (gray short-tailed opossum)
Lineage: Eukaryota; Metazoa; Chordata; Mammalia; Didelphimorphia; Didelphidae
Source: RefSeq, a predicted model, not a curated record